UGACUUAGUACGGCGAGUGAAGCGGCAAAAGCUCAAAUUUGAAAUCUGGUACCUUCGGUGCCCGAGUUGUAAUUUGGAGAGGGCAACUUUGGGGCCGUUCCUUGUCUAUGUUCCUUGGAACAGGACGUCAUAGAGGGUGAGAAUCCCGUGUGGCGAGGAGUGCGGUUCUUUGUAAAGUGCCUUCGAAGAGUCGAGUUGUUUGGGAAUGCAGCUCUAAGUGGGUGGUAAAUUCCAUCUAAAGCUAAAUAUUGGCGAGAGACCGAUAGCGAACAAGUACAGUGAUGGAAAGAUGAAAAGAACUUUGAAAAGAGAGUGAAAAAGUACGUGAAAUUGUUGAAAGGGAAGGGCAUUUGAUCAGACAUGGUGUUUUGUGCCCUCUGCUCCUUGUGGGUAGGGGAAUCUCGCAUUUCACUGGGCCAGCAUCAGUUUUGGUGGCAGGAUAAAUCCAUAGGAAUGUAGCUUGCCUCGGUAAGUAUUAUAGCCUGUGGGAAUACUGCCAGCUGGGACUGAGGACUGCGACGUAAGUCAAGGAUGCUGGCAUAAUGGUUAUAUGCCGCCCGUCUUGAACCCCGAGCACACA
RNAcentral lists this ribosomal RNA (580 nucleotides) under Saccharomyces cerevisiae (brewer's yeast). RNAcentral describes it as "partial large subunit ribosomal RNA". It matches the Rfam family "Eukaryotic large subunit ribosomal RNA", at positions 73 to 664 of the family's 3401-position model. Lineage: Eukaryota; Fungi; Ascomycota; Saccharomycetes; Saccharomycetales; Saccharomycetaceae. The record is from RNAcentral.